UCAUGGCUAGAAAUUUCAUACACUGUGGAGUUAAAGCAUGCGCAUUGGGUACUUAGAAAUUAAUCCAAAAUGGCGUCUUUAGUAUAAGAUUUAAGCGGAAAAUACACAAAAUUAAGAAUGUUAGUAAUUUACGAUUGCAAAUUCCAACAUGCGAACAUCUGAAACAUUACCAAAUUACACAAUAUAUUAUUUGUUAAAUUUUCGGAACAAUACGAUCAGGCUGAAUGGGUUCCCGAGCUCCUCGUCAACAUACCUGUUAUUCACUGUAUAAAGUAUACUAAUUGACCAUAUUUUGUAUUCUGGAGCUGAAAUUAUGGCCAUACUUGCAAGACUUUUCAACCAUGCGAACAUCAGAAUAUACUCCCGAAUAACGAUACUUUUAUUCACGCUAGAUUUUAAAGCAUUUUAAUCCCGUUUAGUGGGUUCCAUAAUGUCUUGAAAUACGUUGUUUUUGAGAUCAUAAGACUGCUAGUUUAGAGGCCAUGAUAGGCGAAAUUUCAAAAUAUAGUUGCCAUUUUCGUAUUCGUUUCAUGACCUUUCCGCCAUUGUUGUUGUUCGAAAGCUCUCGAAAGCUGUUGCUAUGUUACCAUGGCCUUUACUGCUGACCUAAGAAACUGUAGCUACAAAAAUAUUCGCUCAGAGUCGCGGGAAAAAUUCAAAUUAGAUUGUUCAUACUGUGUUGUUGCGAAAUGUGUUGUUGGAAAUCACUACAAAUUAGUUAGUGGUGGACAUAUUGAACAAUCCCCUUGUUAUUUCAUUGAGAA
Molecule: non-coding RNA, 764 nt
Organism: Paramuricea clavata
Lineage: Eukaryota; Metazoa; Cnidaria; Anthozoa; Malacalcyonacea; Plexauridae
Source: the annotation of a GenBank genome assembly